GGGGAUGUAGCUCAGAGGGAGAGCGCCUGCCUUGCAAGCAGGAGGUCGGCGGUUCAAGUCCGCUCAUCUCCACCA
This 75-nucleotide transfer RNA is filed under the name Acetomicrobium flavidum. RNAcentral describes it as "tRNA-Ala". It matches the Rfam family "tRNA". Rfam says of the family: Transfer RNA (tRNA) molecules are approximately 80 nucleotides in length. The record is from RNAcentral. Lineage: Bacteria; Thermotogati; Synergistota; Synergistia; Synergistales; Acetomicrobiaceae. RNAcentral also lists the same sequence under 1 other name.